GGUAGCGUGGCCGAGUGGUCUAAGGCGCUGGUUUUAGGCAACAGUCUCUUCGGGGGCGUGGGUUCGAAUCCCACCGCUGCCA
RNAcentral lists this transfer RNA (82 nucleotides) under Penaeus chinensis. RNAcentral describes it as "tRNA-Leu". It matches the Rfam family "tRNA". Rfam says of the family: Transfer RNA (tRNA) molecules are approximately 80 nucleotides in length. Lineage: Eukaryota; Metazoa; Arthropoda; Malacostraca; Decapoda; Penaeidae. The record is from RNAcentral.